AUCCAGCUGACGAGUUCCAAAUAGGACGAAAUGCGCUUCCUGGUU
RNAcentral lists this non-coding RNA (45 nucleotides) under Schistosoma mansoni. The record is from RNAcentral. Lineage: Eukaryota; Metazoa; Platyhelminthes; Trematoda; Strigeidida; Schistosomatidae.